AAUUCGUGAUGUGGGAACUUCCUUAACAUUGUCUUGAAACCUUCCCACUCCUCAUACAGGGAUUCAUCUUAAUAUUGUUUAAAAUAUGUUAUUUCUCCCCCGAGCU
Gossypium raimondii (Peruvian cotton) is the source of this 106-nucleotide small nucleolar RNA. It matches the Rfam family "Plant small nucleolar RNA R71". From Rfam's summary of the family: R71 is a member of the C/D box family of snoRNAs containing the C (UGAUGA) and D (CUGA) box motifs. Multiple nearly identical copies of this snoRNA have been identified in Arabidopsis, and it is thought to function as a 2'-O-ribose methylation guide for 18S ribosomal RNA. NCBI's taxonomy places the organism in Eukaryota, Viridiplantae, Streptophyta, Magnoliopsida, Malvales, Malvaceae. The record is from Rfam.